CUAUCAGGUGCUACAGGAUUCUUUGCUGCUUUUACAGAUCCAGACUAACACGGCUACCCCUCUGAUACCAUUUCCUGUUUGGUUGGUGUGGGGAGCUCAUUUAGCAACUGCCCAACUAACCAUACUGGCUCCACACAGCAAACACGCUCCUGCCUGGAGUACACAGAAGGUAGUGGAUCUCCUGGGUCUGUGGGGAUAAGAGGCUCUUAAGGCUCUGAAUCAGCCAUAGAAACGUCAACAUAUAUGAGCCGAUCCCUUGGAGCAUGGGGGAGAAGGACUACAACAGGGACAUGCAGCAGCGCCAUGUGAAAAUCAAGGAGCUGUGGCAGGCAUACCAGAAGGCAAAGGAGGCAAAUAGUUGCUCUGGUGCAGAGCCAGAGGCAUGCUGCUUGUACAAGGAGCUGCAUACUGUCCUUGGAAGAGACUCCACCACCACCACCAAAAGACCUGUGGAUACUUUGGGGAAGUUGGAGUCACAGGCCCCCACAGUGAGGAGGAAGUGUUGAACAAGGAAGAGGAGGAGGAGUGUGGGGGACAGACAACCAGGGGAUCUAAUGGCACAGCAAGCCAGGACAUCUUUCUGAUGCUGGAGCAGUUGAGCCACUCCCAGCAGUCCAGCACCAACAAGUCUGAUGCAGAGGAAGGGAUCUCUGGUUAGUAUGCAGGUUGCUUUAAUAUUGCAGGGACACAUCUGUUUGUCUACUAUUUUUUAAUCAUGCUAGAAGAGAUAGUGAAAUAACCAAUGAAGGUACAGUUGCUAUCUGCUUCUUAUUGCUCUGUGCAGCUAGGCAGAAGGGGUCCUGUGGAAUAGUUUGUUUACAUGUACCAGGAUGUCCUGUGAAUUCUCCAUAGAUAUUUCAAGGAAACUUUCCUGGAGACAGUGUGCCUCCUCUGCCAAAGGUUUCUGGGGAAGGCUGCCUUAUUCUUCCCACCGUGGUAGGACACUUUCCUAUGCCAGUCAGCAAUUACUUCAGCAGACAUCAUUACAGAACACAGGUUAACAGCAUACAGAUCUGGUCUGCAGCCAGGUGUAUACAGGAGCUGUUUCCUUUUGGGCUCCAUUACCCUCAGGAGAGAGAGAGAUCAGCUAAAAUCACCACAGCAUAUGGAAAAUGCUGCCAGUAUUCAAUUAAAGUGCCCUAUCCUCAAAUACUGAUGCCAAUGUGCUCCCCCUCAUUGUCCCAGAUAGCCUCUUUUCCCCAGGGCCGUACUCACCAUGGCUGGGACUGCCUCUGUGCUCUAUGAAUCCUGAGGGAAAGUGAGAAUGUAAUGCUUGUAACUUGUGUGGAUCAAGGGGAGUGAAAACACUCAUCAUAGUACCUCUGUGCAUUGUGUCAUGUGCAGUUAGAAAUGUGGCCUUGAGGAUCCUUCCAUCCAGGCCAGAAGAGCAGCUCAGCCACAUAAGGAGAAGCAAGAGAAUAUGGGAGAUCAUGUUCCAAGAGAUUCCGCAGAGCUGUGGUGCUGCGGAUAAGUGCACUCUUAUCACAGAGCAGCUUGGAGGUGCACUCUUUCAGCAGAGUGGAAAGGGAUGCAAGUGUUCAGGGCCAUUAAUUGUGUCCUGCCACAAAGGACUGUGACUCCUGGCAACCUGCAGGACAUUCUGAAUGGUUUUACAGCAAUGGGGUUCCUGUACUGCAGUGGGGUGAUAGAUGGCAUUCAUAUCCCUCUUUUGGCACCAGACCACCUUGCCAUGGAGUACCUCAACAGAACUGAAAGGGCUACUUUUUUACGGUAUUGCAAGCACUGGUGGAUCACCAGGGAUGUUUUACCAACAUCAACGUGGGCUGGUCACGGAAGAUGCAUGAUGCAUGCAUCUUUAAAACCACAGGCCUGUUCAGAAAGAUGCAAGCAGGGACUUUCUUUCCAAAUGAGCGAAUUACCAUUAGGAAUGUUGAAAUGCCAAUAGUGAUCCUGUGAGAUCCAACUUAUCCCAUACUCCCCUGGCUUAUGAAGCUGUACACCAGCCACUUCAAGAGCAGCAAGGAGCGCUUCAAAUAGAGGCUCAGCAGGUGCAGAAUGACUGUUGAACGUGCCUUUGGCUGUCUGAAAGGACACUGGUGCUGUCUAUUCACACGAUAGACUUUAGUGAAAAAAAUCUGUUAUUAUAGCUGCCUGCUGUGUACUUCAUAAUAUCUGUGAAGCAAAGGGGCAAAGUUUCUGCAGGGGUGGAAUGUGGUGGCAAAAUGCCUGGCUGCUGAUUUUGAGCAGCCAGAUACCAGGGCAAUAAGAGCAGCUCAACAGGGAGAUAUACAGCUCAAGGAGGCUUUGAAAGACCAUUUCAAUAGUGAGCCACAGCAAUGUGUGUUGUUGUUGUUGUGUGCUCUGCUUGGCAUUGUUUUUUAGUACCUCAGUAUGAACCAUGUAAUGAGUGUUGUGUGUAAGGUAAUAUAACAUUGCAAGUGAGAAAUUGCAAGGGGGAAAGUGGGGGAUAUAAUAUACUUGGACUUUAGCAAGGCUUUUGACACAGUCCCACAUGACAAGGUGGAGAAAUGUGGGCUUGGCGGAACUACCAUUAAGUGGAUACAUAAUUGAUUAAACAACCGCAAACAAAGAGUAGCUAUUAAUGGAAUGAUGUCAGAUUGGAAGGUGGUCUCAAGUGGGUUUGCACAGAAAUCUGUCCUGGGUCCAAUGUGAUUUAGCAUCUUCAUUAAUAACCUGAAUGUAGUAAUAGUGAGCAUGCAGAUGACACAAAGCUGGGGGUGAGGAUUGCAAACACUGUGAAGGAGAGAGCUAAAAUUCAAAGGAAUCUUGAUAAAUUGGAGAGCUACAAAAUGAAAUCCCACAAAGACAAAUGUAAGUUGCUUCACUUGGGGAAGAAAAACCAAAUGUACAAAUACAGAAUGGAGGAUAACUGGUUUGGCAGCAGCACUGCUGAGAAGGCUUGAGAGUUGUGGUGGAUUACAACCCCAGCGUGAGUCAGCAAUGCGAUGCUGUUGCAAAAAAAGCAAAUGCAAUUUCAGGUAGCAUUAACAGAGGAAAGUCACAGGAGGUGAUAGUACCACUCUACUCAGCUCAGGUUAGGCCUCAGCUGGAAUACUGUGUCCAAUUUUGGUCAUCAAUGUAUAGAAAAGAUGUAGAGAAACUAGAAAGGAUCCAGAGACAAGUGACAAAGAUUAUCAAAGGGAUGCCCAGUAAUGGAUAACUGGGGGGAUCUCUCCCCUUCUUCCUAUGGCUCAGUAAACCUCUGAAAUGUGUUCUUUGAAAACUAAGCCCAGACAAAGUUUCUUCACCCUGCUGCUGGGGUGUUACAUCAUUUUGUCUUUUCUCCUGCUUGACAGCUUUGUUUACCUUAUAUGUAAAUUUGCCUUCAUUGUUGCUGCCUGAUGUCCAGGCUGGUCAGAAAAGCAAAUACGCAUUCCUUCAUCUGUGGCGGACUGGGCUUAUUCAUUGCUUGCCAAACACAUUUUAAGAACAUAAUCCUAGCACUUAGUUGUAAUUCUUUGUACACACCCAAUUUGUACAAAACAAAGAUUUCCAGGACCAGAGUGUUAUCAGUUUGCAUAUAAUAUCUCACAUGACACCAUUUUAGUUACAGAUUAUGAAACCAGUGUGUUAGCUGUUGUGAGUAUGCCAGGCUUGACAAGAGUUGCUGACAGAGUAGUGAACCACCUAGGGCCUCUUUGUCACAUUGUGACAACACUUCUUGGUGUUUGGUGCCCAGCCCCAUGAUUGGUGAAUGCAAAGCAAAUGUUUGUGCUCAAAUUCAAGUUUUUCCUUGGGCAAUUUUUUUUUGGGUGCCCCUGGGUAUGAAUGAGGGAAAUAUCGCAGUACGUGUCUUGCUGGUUUUGUAGGUUUUGCAUGCAUUCAAAGAGAAUUGUAUAACAAAGACUGGCCAGAGGAGGGCAACAAAACCUCAAACAACUGGCAUUCUACAAGGGAAAGUUCCUUCAAAACUCAAAAGGUUUCAUAAAAGAUAAAUAAUUCCUCAACAAAAGGAACUUCUAGUAUUUACAAGUCUAAAUCAAUAGCAAAUGCCCCAAACUCCUUGUUGGAGAUGAAUGAAUGUGAUAGACUUAUUCAUUUUUAAUUAAAAUGCCAAUUUUAGGAGACAGAAGCAAAAAGGAGAUGGGAGAUAGGAAAGAAUUUUCUAUGCUUUAACAAUCUGAUUGAUUAACAUCUGACAGUCCAUGAGGAUGCUAUUUUCUGAAAAAUUAUAAAUAUCUUGAGAUCAAAAGGAAUAAUUUCUCCGAGUACUACUAAUAGAAGUCUCUUACUCCACUGUGUACUGAUAGUGUCAAAGAGAUUAAUUUUUGGAAGAGUCUAAGUAUUGCUCAUAUGUAGUUUUCCACAUCACUCUCAAAAAGUCUCAACUUUAUAGUCCAAAAGGAAGUUCAUUUGAAACUACUUUUUAGGAACUAGAUCAAGGCUGAUUGUAGGGGGCAUUGUGUAGCUGUAUGAUUUUAUCACCAGAAGGAGGAAGGACCAAGUCUAGUUUAGUUCCAACUCACAGGGAUUGCUAAAUUUUCUCUACAUGCUAUGCAUGGGGUCAGGAAGCUUUUAGUGCACACCCUGCCUCCUGACACAUUUGCGCAGGGGCAGAUCAUAAUCCAUCCCAGAGAAUGGCAGCCUCUAGCAGGGUGAAAUUCCUCAGAGCAGACAGCCCCCACAAAUCCCUACAUACAAUUUAGAUCCCUUUUUAUAGGUUUAAAUGGUGCCUAUGGACUUGCACAAACCUCCUGUACUGGUGUGAAUUUAAAAAAAUAUAGCAAGAUAACACCUUUGUUAUGUUUUAAUGGAUAGGACUUCUCUCUGUUUUUUCACUUUUGCAUACAAGAAAUUGAAUAGCUCUUUUCCUUCUAAAUUUAUAAAGAUAUGAUUUGAUCACUUUUUAUCCAAGCUAAGGCAUUAGAUGUAUUUACAGUGAUUUAGAAGCAACCUCGAAAAAUAUGUAACACAAAUAAGUUUAAAAAAAAUCUGAAAUGUGGUGAAAAGUGAAUCUAAAAAUCAAUAUCUUGGCUGCCCCAUAUCUUAUCCUUAUGGGUCUUCUGAGUCUUUUCUCCUGAAACAAGAACAAGUGUUCCUGUGAGCAUCACAGAGGCCAUAUAUCUAUGGAAACUUAUUCUGUAUUCCAUUUUCUUGGGCAAUAAGGCUCUAAUAAUGCUGCUCUAUCAUGAAUGGGUUCAUUUGUGUGCAGGAGGAGUGCUCUUGAUGCUCUUCCCCUCCCAGCAGCACGAGGAUGGCAUUUCUGACAGGCCUCUUUUUGGGAGUGGAGGAGUUCCUUAUAUGCUCUGCCUCCUGGGCAGCUGCAAAUGGAGGUCUCAGAAUCUGGUCAGUACUGAUUUUUUGUGUGUGCUAAAUCAGAAUGAGUCCUGUGUGACAAAAGAUUCUACCCACUCAGAUACCAAGAACUACAUCCUGGCCCUGUGCUCUUCAGUGUCUACAUAAGUCCAUUCCGGUAGGUGCUGAAACCCCGCAGAUUCUGCUGCCAAUAACAUGCUGAUGAUACUAAAUUGUGUACUGAUCUUUCCUUUUCAACUGAUGCAACCAAUACCUUUGUAAAAAUGUCAGUGCCUAGAGGAGACCAGCCCUGAGAUGUUUGCACUUGACCCAGGCAAGACCAAAGUAAUCCUGAUCAGAAGGAAGAAACACACUUGAAGGAUGGGCUGGUCACUGCCUUUCCCCUCCAAAAAAAGUGCUUUCCUCCUCCUCCUCCUCCUCCUCCUCCCCCAUUAUCUGAGUGAUGUGACUCUUCAGACUCCUCUUGAGCACUGCAUUUAACCUAAAAAUCAAUGGUGGUAAAUAACCUUCCUUUAUCUAUAGUUUGCUAGGAAACUUCAUCCCUUCCUCCCAGAUGAGGAUCUGGCCACAGCAAUCCAUUCAUUGCCACCAUACUGGAUGACCAUGACUUACUGUAUAUGGGACUGAAGAUGGAAGAUAUUCAAAGGUUCCAGCAAGUGCAGAAGGCCAUAGCUCAUCUGUCAUGAGAAGAGCAGAAGAAUCCAAGAGGCCCACUAGAGAGCUUGCCAUAUAGAGCUUAUGUUCUUAAAGGCUGCAUCAGCCCCCACCUGGGCCCACCAACACCACCCCAUGCAUCUCAUAGAAGCCACAGAAGAACAAUACAAAGUGCUUUCUCCCACCAUUGGCAAAACAUUCUUCUUCUCCACACUCCCAGCUUAUGCCAGUCCUAGGAUCUCAUGAGUCAAAGCUGGAUUCACUGUAUAGCAGCACAUUACCACUAGACUGCUCUUGUACUUUUCAACAGCCACCAAUUUAUGCCUUACUUUCUUUUUCCAUCCAAGAAACAGAAACACACAAAAAUAUAUUAAGCAUGAAACGAGGAGGGAAUAAAAAAGAUUUACUGAUGUCUAUUGUAAGAAUUAGGCUUGGCAAUGUAUUUCUUUAUUUAAGAUAGCAAGGUACCCUACCAAGCUUGGGGCACCAUGAAUGGAAGUGUUCUCAACCUCUGUGGGAGGGAGUGGUUUAUCUUGCUCAACAGAGACACUUCUAGCUUAUGAAGAACAACAUGGUCUGACUCUGAAGGGAAUUCUAUCCAGUUCUUUACUGAAAAGUAUGACUGUAAUCUAGGGUUGGAGGAUGUGGUUAAAGCAAAUGAAAGAUCAGGAAACUAAGAGGUCUGAACUGAUACUGACU
This is a long non-coding RNA of Gopherus flavomarginatus (Mexican gopher tortoise), 6591 nucleotides long. RefSeq lists it as uncharacterized. The record is from RefSeq and is a predicted model, not a curated record. The transcript is spliced from 3 exons. NCBI's taxonomy places the organism in Eukaryota, Metazoa, Chordata, Testudines, Testudinidae.